Diceros bicornis minor is the source of this 968-nucleotide long non-coding RNA. RefSeq lists it as uncharacterized. The transcript is spliced from 3 exons. Lineage: Eukaryota; Metazoa; Chordata; Mammalia; Perissodactyla; Rhinocerotidae. The record is from RefSeq and is a predicted model, not a curated record.
CAGGGAAACACCUCAGACACUCCAACCUGCAACCAGGAAAUUCCCCACCGAACGUGAUCGGGUCUCCAGCAAGAAUGCUCGCUCUCCCAGUUUUUCCUUCCCAGUCCCUCUCUCUGUACACACACAUGAUUUAUUUACCUUGCCUCUCUCCCUCAUUUUCUUCCAUUUUUUUCUCUUAAAUUAAGAUCCUUUGGGAUCUGCAGUUACUCACAGAAAAACUGCAACCUGCACGCUCACCCCCUCUGCUGUGCUGCGGUCCGCUGUGCGUGUAUCGGCACUGACUGUUCUGUGGACUUUCCGUCUCGUAAAAGGAGCUUCACAGGAUUGCUAAGAGAGUGAGAAGUCGGCCCCAAACCACUGCUACUUCUAGAGUCCCUUCCACACUCACGCUGAGCAGUGCACUGAGAGGCCUGGUUGAUGAUAGGUUUGCCAUCCAGACGCAGGUAGCAGAGACACUCUAAGGACUGUCCAGUGUCAGCUCCACUCUGUACCUAAAGGGAAGCAGCAUGGGACACGGAGGAGCCCCGGACUGGGAGGCCUGGACUGGGAGCGGGCUGCCUACUUCUCAUCUGGAUUCCGCUACCGGCCCCAGGAGUGAGAGCCUGAACAAGCCAUUGACUUCUCCCAGUCUCCAUUUGCUCCUCUGUACCAGGUGUCAUCGCUUCUACUUCAAAGAGGAAGAAAUCGAGGAAGGAGGGCAGAGAAAUGCAGUAAGUCCCUGAACAAUCGCAGUAGAAGGGAGGGUGAGCCACGUUUUCCACACCUUAUUUGGGGCUGUGAUUUACGUGGGAUAAGCUCUUGGCCACUUAGAAUCUUGUUGAAUUUGAUUCCAAGUUCCCGAACCACUGAGGAAGAUAAUCCUAGGACUGUUCAGAUGGGAGCAGCCUCCGGAAAGUUCUCACAGACACUUUGUUUUGAUCCCAGCAGGAGAUACGACACUGAGACUGAAAUCACUGAGCAAUAAUGAA